ACCUACGGGGGGCAGCAGUGAGGAAUAUUGGUCAAUGGGCGGGAGCCUGAACCAGCCAAGCCGCGUGAAGGAAGAAGGCGCCAGGCGUCGUAAACUUCUUUUGUCGGGGAACAAAGGGCGCCACGCGUGGCGUUGUGAGUGUACCCGAAGAAAAAGCAUCGGCUAACUCCGUGCCAGCAGCCGCGGUAAUACGGAGGAUGCGAGCGUUAUCCGGAUUUAUUGGGUUUAAAGGGUGCGUAGACGGGACAGCAAGUUAGUUGUGAAAGCCCUCGGCUUAACUGAGGAACUGCAACUAAAACUAUUGU
Molecule: ribosomal RNA, 305 nt
Filed under: uncultured bacterium
Lineage: Bacteria
Description: bacterial SSU rRNA
Rfam family: Bacterial small subunit ribosomal RNA
Source: RNAcentral